AUGGCUCAGUGGUUAAGAGUACUGGACUGCUCUUCCAGAGGUUCAGGGUUCAAUUCCCAGU
This is a non-coding RNA of Mus musculus (house mouse), 61 nucleotides long. NCBI's taxonomy places the organism in Eukaryota, Metazoa, Chordata, Mammalia, Rodentia, Muridae. The record is from Rfam.